GACGAACGCUGGCGGCGUGCCUAAUACAUGCAAGUCGAGCGGACUGAUGGGAGCUUGCUCCCUGAUGUCAGCGGCGGACGGGUGAGUAACACGUGGGCAACCUGCCUGUAAGACUGGGAUAACUUCGGGAAACCGGAGCUAAUACCGGAUAACUUCAAGAACCUCCUGGUUCUUGAAUAAAAGACGGUUUCGGCUGUCACUUACAGAUGGGCCCGCGGCGCAUUAGCUAGUUGGUGAGGUAACGGCUCACCAAGGCGACGAUGCGUAGCCGACCUGAGAGGGUGAUCGGCCACACUGGGACUGAGACACGGCCCAGACUCCUACGGGAGGCAGCAGUAGGGAAUCUUCCGCAAUGGACGAAAGUCUGACGGAGCAACGCCGCGUGAGCGAUGAAGGCCUUCGGGUCGUAAAGCUCUGUUGUUAGGGAAGAACAAGUACCAGAGUAACUGCUGGUACCUUGACGGUACCUAACCAGAAAGCCACGGCUAACUACGUGCCAGCCGCCGCAGUAAAAC
RNAcentral lists this ribosomal RNA (515 nucleotides) under uncultured bacterium. RNAcentral describes it as "bacterial SSU rRNA". It matches the Rfam family "Bacterial small subunit ribosomal RNA", at positions 28 to 526 of the family's 1533-position model. The record is from RNAcentral.